AGUGAACGCUGGCGGUGUGCCUAACACAUGCAAGUCGAACGGAAACACAAUAAGAUUUUGCUCUUGCGGGUGGCGAGUGGCGGACGGGUGAGGCAUAGAUCGGAAUCUACUUUUUCGGGGGUGAUAACGUGGGAAAAGUGAUGCUAAUAGCGCAUAUGAUCAACGGGAGAGAGCAGUAGAGCUUGGCAGCUUUCGUGAUUGAAUGAGACGAUGUCGGAUUAGCUAGUUGGCGGGGUAAAGGCACACCAAGGCGACGAUACGUAGCGGACCUGAGAGGAUGAUCAGCCACACUGGAACUGAGACACGGUCCAGACUCCUACGGGAGGCAGCAGUGGGGAAUCUUGGGCAAUGGGCGCAAGCCUGACCCAGCCACACCGCGUGAGUGAUGAAGGCCUUCGGGUUGUAAAGCCCUGUUAUUGGGAAAGAAAAGAAGCAUGUUUAUCUCUCGCCGUCUUGACGGUACCUAAUGAAUAAGCACCGGCUAACUUCGUG
RNAcentral lists this ribosomal RNA (492 nucleotides) under uncultured bacterium. RNAcentral describes it as "partial 16S ribosomal RNA". It matches the Rfam family "Bacterial small subunit ribosomal RNA", at positions 29 to 507 of the family's 1533-position model. The record is from RNAcentral.